UUUAAAGUCUAACCUGCCCAAUGAGGAGUUAAAUGGCCGCGGUACUUUGACCGUGCAAAGGUAGCAUAAUCAUUAGUUUUUUAAUUGAAAGCUGGUAUGAAUGGUUGGACGAGAAAGUAACUGUCUCAAUUUAAUUGUUAAUAGAAUUUUAUUUAUAAGUAAAAAAGCUUAUAUAAUUUUAAAAGACGAGAAGACCCUAUAGAAUUUUAUAAUAAUAUAUAUAUAUUAUUAUUAGAAUAAUAAGUUUUAUAUAUAUAAAGUUAUUUUGUUGGGGCGAUAGAAAAAUUAAAUUAACUUUUUUUAAAAAUAAUUCAUUAGUGUAUGUGUUAGUGAUCCGUUUAUUACGAUUAUAAGAUUAAAUUACCUUAGGGAUAACAGCGUAAUUUUUUUUUAGAGUUCUUAUCGAAAAAAGAGUUUGCGACCUCGAUGUUGGAUUAAAAUUAACUUUUGGUGUAGGGGCUAAAAGGUUAGGUCUGUUCGACCUUUAAAAUUUUACAUGAUCUGAGUUUAAACCGGCGUGAGCCAGGUUGGUUUCUAUCUUUAAAAAAAUUAAAUAUCUUAGUACGAAAGGAUUAGGUAUUUAUAAGAUUUAUUAUAUUUUGAAUAUUAAUAA
Molecule: ribosomal RNA, 613 nt
Filed under: Alissonotum simile
Lineage: Eukaryota; Metazoa; Arthropoda; Insecta; Coleoptera; Scarabaeidae
Description: partial 16S ribosomal RNA
Rfam family: Bacterial large subunit ribosomal RNA
Source: RNAcentral